This 1311-nucleotide long non-coding RNA is filed under the name Toxoplasma gondii VEG. The record is from RNAcentral. Lineage: Eukaryota; Apicomplexa; Conoidasida; Eucoccidiorida; Sarcocystidae.
CAACAUUGUCUCUGUAUUGAUGAUGGUGACAAGACCCUAAAACGGAGCAGCAUGUUGGCACUCUUCUUAGAAAGUUCUGUUGGAUCGUGGCGAUAAGGAAGUCAACUACAUCAAGUUCUGCGAAGCUCUCCCCAUCGCGCUUUUACAACCAACGCCAAAUGUCAGAAUCACCGCGUCCCAGCUAACCAACACGACAACACCGCAUUCGCACGUGAACACGCAGCGAGAGUGUCCGACUCCAUGGACUUGAAUAUGUUCGUCAGAUUUGUCGCAUUCGCCCGUCCCCGCUACGAGACUUCCAAGCUGGUGACAACGGACGGCGUCAUUCCUGUUUCGGAGGCAAACAACUUGCUCUCCCGUUUGGUAAGUGUAAAGGGACUAAGACGACACAAGCGUGACGGGGAGUGUUGAAAAAGACGGAUCGGAAAUUCACUAGACUCACCAUUUCAAACGCUUCAAUAAAGGCUGUCACAGUAGCAGUGGGCACGUUUCUCGUCUCGGUAAAUUUUCAUGUUCGCGCAUUUGCUGUGGAAGCAUUUGGCCCUAAAAUUCGGACUCAGGCGUUUUUUAGUGUGUUUCUGUGUUUCUGCUGGGAAAAAGUUGGAGUGUCGGUAAAUGCGCAUUCCGUUGAUGCUCAGCAGUUUCCCAGCCGCUACCAAGUUGACGCGGCGGACUACGGAACUUUUCAAAGAGGCUUUGCUUCGCAACUGGCUCUUCAGUCUUGAAGAGACUAUCCACGUGGACCCUCCUCGUGUGUGCAUCUUUGUUGCACGUCACUUCGUUCCGUUGCACAGCUUUGACCACCCGUAUUCUUGGAAGAACGUUUUUCGAUUGCAUUAGCUCUUGGAUUCGAUCGCCCGCUAUGGAUUCUCGUGAACGGUCAAGCAUGACCAGUAGUGUAUGACAAGGUCUUCCCUGCAGAUACAGUAUGACUUGGAAGCGACACCACUGGCAGGCUGCGUUAUUUUGCUUGUCGGCUUCCGUGGGCCUUGCUCACCGUUGUCCAAAAGACUCCAUGCCGUGGCCAGAGCUAUACCGCCAAGCCAUGGAACUGCAAUCAGUGUCAUGCCGCGCGGGAAUCUGAGGAAGCCACAGCCGGGCACGGCUCUGAUGCCCCUUCUCCGACGUCUCUACCGUCAGUGAUUCUUGACGCCGGGCUGUUUUUCGAUUCACUAUGGCGUCGCUCAAAAAUGUCCGCAUUCCAGCACUUACGGUUGUAUACUUGUGUUAGUCUCUUACCCGUUGGCCCGGUAUCUACUUUCUUCUGUGCCACAUCCCUUAAGGAACAUUUGAGAUUCUCAAAAACCGCAC